Long non-coding RNA from Cervus elaphus (red deer), 374 nucleotides. RefSeq lists it as uncharacterized. Lineage: Eukaryota; Metazoa; Chordata; Mammalia; Artiodactyla; Cervidae. The transcript has 4 exons. The record is from RefSeq and is a predicted model, not a curated record.
GGUGGGGCUUGCCCCUCUUGGUCUCUUGGAUCAGAAGAGGCAUGAGCUGGGCGGUGGGCAAGUGUGUCGGGAGAUCAGUGAGACCUGACUCUACACAGCAGAAGGCCUUCUGCAAGAAGUCUGUCCCUAAAGAAUCACUGAGCGUUGGGAUCAGAGACACUUCACCUACUGACGUUACUUCUUGAGUUUCAAACUUCAUAACGGAAGAGACAGGGUGUUGGCAUUGGGAAGCAGGAAGUAGAGGAAAGUCUGGAGACCAAGGAGAAGGAGUGCAUGCUGGGCAGUGGAGGCGCAGAACAGGGAGACUGGUGUCCCCUCCUACUGGGCCCUGGAGCCUGGACUUCAGAAAAAGACACUGCCGGGGCCCCUGUGUC